AAAAAAAAAAAAAACCAGAAUAUCGUGUCUUAGAUUUCUCUCAUCCUAAAAAGAAACCCACCUCCCAAAUUUCGGUCUUGUUCGAGAAUUCGGCUUUCUUACGGCUCUCUGUACAAAAGCCACCCUUUUUCACAAGGUGUGGGUCAAGUUCAAGCGGAGUUUGAACAUGCUAUCUUUAUUAUCAAACUGAGCUCCUCAACCAUUCUAUACUUGGCUUGAGUUGAUGACAGCCCUCCUAGUUGAAGUCCUACAAAAUUGCAAGGGGUUUCUCAUAUUAUAGCGUUGAAGUAAAAAGACAACCUUUUCAAUUGAAAUGUUCUGAGUGAUCUUUUGGAAACACAGAGAUAUGAGUGUAAUGUUUGGUACAUUGGCACUAGGCAGUUCGAACAUAGGAAAAUUCAUACAAACUUGGAGGCAAAAAAAAUUGGACUAAUUUACAGCUCUCGUGACACCUUCAGGAAUUCAGUAAUAUUGCUUGCUGUGCUUUUCACAUAACAACAUGGGUUUUUUUGUUGAAUAUGGACGAUGCAAGAGUUGAGAGCUUUCAGAGUGUUUACUAUUGGAAAGCAAUGGUUCUUCUUGGGUUAGAACUCAUUGGCAGUGUUGAAGACCCUUGGGUAGGUGAUAUUUACUUUAGGGACUUGAGAACCUUUAUGAACAACUCUUUUGCAACAAUAGCAGUUCACUCUGUUUUAAGAUGAUUAGUUCUCAACAAGAAAAUGGGUAUUCUUCUUAAUUUGAGUUUUUAUUGUAACAUUAUAUUUGAAGUACACACCUUUACAAUUUAGUCCAAAGCUUGAUGGAUUAGCAUGCGUGAGGGUGCAGGACAAAAACUGUUCCUCUUUAUAUAUGACUCUUUCUACUGAAUGACCUUUGCUUCCCUCUCUUUUUA
Molecule: long non-coding RNA, 892 nt
Organism: Quercus lobata
Lineage: Eukaryota; Viridiplantae; Streptophyta; Magnoliopsida; Fagales; Fagaceae
Exons: 3
Source: RefSeq, a predicted model, not a curated record